Molecule: ribosomal RNA, 553 nt
Filed under: uncultured archaeon
Lineage: Archaea
Description: bacterial SSU rRNA
Rfam family: Archaeal small subunit ribosomal RNA
Source: RNAcentral
CGGGGUGCAGCAGGCGCGAAAACUUUACCUUGUGGGAAACCGUGAUAAGGGGACACCGAGUGUCAGCAUCAUAUGCUGGCUGUCCAGGUGUGUAAAAUACACCUGUUAGCAAGGGCCGGGAAAGACCGGUGCCAGCCGCCGCGGUAACACCGGCGGCCCGAGUGGUGAUCUUGAUUAUUGGGUCUAAAGGGUCCGUAGCCGGUUUGGUCACUCCUCCGGGAAAUCUGAUAGCUCAACUAUUAGGCUAUCGGGGGAUACUACCAAACUUGGAACCGGGAUAGGUAAGAGGUACUACAGGGGUAGGAGUGAAAUCUUGUAAUCCCUGUGGGACCACCUGUGGCGAAGGCGUCUUACCAGAACGGGUUCGACGGUGAGGAACGAAAGCUGGGGGCACCAACCGGAUUACAUACCCGGGUAGUCCCAGCCGUAAACGAUGCUCGCUAGGUGUCAGGCAUGGCGCGACCGUGUCUGGUGCCACAGGGAAUCCGUGAAGCGAGCCACCUGGGAAGUACGGCCGCAUGGCUGAAACUUAAAGGAAUUGGCGGGGGAGCAC